Molecule: long non-coding RNA, 496 nt
Organism: Glossina fuscipes
Lineage: Eukaryota; Metazoa; Arthropoda; Insecta; Diptera; Glossinidae
Exons: 3
Source: RefSeq, a predicted model, not a curated record
AAUAUAAACACCAAACCAAACAGACGUUUAUAAUAAAGCUUAAGCCCGGUGAAAUAGCGGCAGCAGACCAACCGCAUACAAUUGAUGAGCGACGCAUAACUGUUGACUUGACUUCGACUGCUGCUGGUCGACGCUAUGUACAAUGAAGUCAGCGAAGAAGUUGACGUCAGCUACCCGCUUUACAGGUGCUUGUGUAUAACGAAAAGCAUAACAAAAUUUUAACGAACAAUAUAUACAACACACAAUUUGCUACGAAUAAAACGCAGUGCCAAAGCGUAAUAUCAGCCGGAAUUAUUUUCAACAGUCCUAACGAAUUCCGUAUCUCAUUCAUUGAUUCAACAAUGUAAAGGCAAAUACGUUCGUCGCUAAACUGAAAUCCAAAUUGUGAGCUGAGAAUUCUUCAAGAGCAGCAAAAUAAAUGUUGUUAGCUAAACGUGUCGGAACGGGGAAGAGAACAACUUUUCCCCAUCUAUUUGGCAAUAUAGCCAUGUCGGGU